UGGUGAGAGACCUCAACGGAAGAGAAGCAUGUGUGCGGCUGUAAGCUGACGAAGACAUCAAUGAUAGACGAUACAGAGAUUGUGUGUGGUGUGAACGGCUCUCAAAGUGCAGGAGCGAGCGAUGAUGGAUACUUUAAUGCUUGACUGCUUGUGGUGACGUGAAAAACGAACGCCGGAGCAGUUGCGAAGAGAGAAGANNCUAAUGAGGGAGAAGAAGAGCGAUGUUUCUGGCGGCCAAAAACAAGAUUGAUCACUGGGAGAAAGAGGGGUUGUAGAGAAGAAUAUUCAUCGUGAGGAGAGUGUGAAGCAAGAGAGACACGCUCUAGGUUUCAAUCCAGUUUUUUUC
This 346-nucleotide long non-coding RNA is filed under the name Trifolium pratense (red clover). RNAcentral describes it as "long non-coding RNA (TPRA_LNC007704)". The record is from RNAcentral. Lineage: Eukaryota; Viridiplantae; Streptophyta; Magnoliopsida; Fabales; Fabaceae.